GGAGGGCAUAGCCGCAAGGCGCGGCCUCGGCUUGACACGCACGAGAUCCCUGAAAGGGGAUGAGGUUCGAGUCCUCUGCCCUCCGCCA
Molecule: transfer RNA, 88 nt
Filed under: Planctomycetota bacterium
Lineage: Bacteria; Pseudomonadati; Planctomycetota
Description: Planctomycetes bacterium (groundwater metagenome) tRNA-Val
Source: RNAcentral